Molecule: ribosomal RNA, 111 nt
Filed under: Helianthus annuus (common sunflower)
Lineage: Eukaryota; Viridiplantae; Streptophyta; Magnoliopsida; Asterales; Asteraceae
Source: RNAcentral
GUUUUGGGCUUGGUUGGCUGUGGAGCACAUGAAAACUCCACAGUUAAGUGUGCUCAGGUGGAAGCAGUACCAGGAUGGGUGACCUCCUGGGAAGUCUCCACAUGAGCAACC